UGGCGGCGUGCCUAAUACAUGCAAGUCGAACGAGUUCUGAUUAUUGAAAGGUGCUUGCAUCUUGAUUUAAUUUUGAACGAGUGGCGGACGGGUGAGUAACACGUGGGUAACCUGCCCUUAAGUGGGGGAUAACAUUUGGAAACAGAUGCUAAUACCGCAUAAAUCCAAGAACCGCAUGGUUCUUGGCUGAAAGAUGGCGUAAGCUAUCGCUUUUGGAUGGACCCGCGGCGUAUUAGCUAGUUGGUGAGGUAACGGCUCACCAAGGCAAUGAUACGUAGCCGAACUGAGAGGUUGAUCGGCCACAUUGGGACUGAGACACGGCCCAAACUCCUACGGGAGGCAGCAGUAGGGAAUCUUCCACAAUGGACGCAAGUCUGAUGGAGCAACGCCGCGUGAGUGAAGAAGGCUUUCGGGUCGUAAAACUCUGUUGUUGGAGAAGAAUGGUCGGCAGAGUAACUGUUGUCGGCGUGACGGUAUCCAACCAGAAAGCCACGGCUAACUACGUGCCAGCAGCCGCGGUAAUACGUAGGUGGCAAGCGUUAUCCGGAUUUAUUGGGCGUAAAGCGAGCGCAGGCGGUUUUUUAAGUCUGAUGUGAAAGCCCUCGGCUUAACCGAGGAAGUGCAUCGGAAACUGGGAAACUUGAGUGCAGAAGAGGACAGUGGAACUCCAUGUGUAGCGGUGAAAUGCGUAGAUAUAUGGAAGAACACCAGUGGCGAAGGCGGCUGUCUGGUCUGUAACUGACGCUGAGGCUCGAAAGCAUGGGUAGCGAACAGGAUUAGAUACCCUGGUAGUCCAUGCCGUAAACGAUGAAUGCUAGGUGUUGGAGGGUUUCCGCCCUUCAGUGCCGCAGCUAACGCAUUAAGCAUUCCGCCUGGGGAGUACGACCGCAAGGUUGAAACUCAAAGGAAUUGACGGGGGCCCGCACAAGCGGUGGAGCAUGUGGUUUAAUUCGAAGCAACGCGAAGAACCUUACCAGGUCUUGACAUCUUUUGAUCACCUGAGAGAUCAGGUUUCCCCUUCGGGGGCAAAAUGACAGGUGGUGCAUGGUUGUCGUCAGCUCGUGUCGUGAGAUGUUGGGUUAAGUCCCGCAACGAGCGCAACCCUUAUGACUAGUUGCCAGCAUUUAGUUGGGCACUCUAGUAAGACUGCCGGUGACAAACCGGAGGAAGGUGGGGAUGACGUCAAAUCAUCAUGCCCCUUAUGACCUGGGCUACACACGUGCUACAAUGGAUGGUACAACGAGUUGCGAGACCGCGAGGUCAAGCUAAUCUCUUAAAGCCAUUCUCAGUUCGGACUGUAGGCUGCAACUCGCCUACACGAAGUCGGAAUCGCUAGUAAUCGCGGAUCAGCACGCCGCGGUGAAUACGUUCCCGGGCCUUGUACACACCGCCCGUCACACCAUGAGAGUUUGUAACACCCGAAGCCGGUGGCGUACCCCUUUUAGGGAGCGAGCCGUCUAAGGUGGGACAAAUGAUUAGGGUGAAGUCGUACA
Molecule: ribosomal RNA, 1493 nt
Filed under: Lacticaseibacillus rhamnosus
Lineage: Bacteria; Bacillati; Bacillota; Bacilli; Lactobacillales; Lactobacillaceae
Description: bacterial SSU rRNA
Rfam family: Bacterial small subunit ribosomal RNA
Source: RNAcentral